RNAcentral lists this ribosomal RNA (358 nucleotides) under uncultured bacterium. RNAcentral describes it as "partial 16S ribosomal RNA". It matches the Rfam family "Bacterial small subunit ribosomal RNA", at positions 523 to 881 of the family's 1533-position model. The record is from RNAcentral.
AUACGUAGGGUGCAAGCGUUAAUCGGAAUUACUGGGCGUAAAGCGUGCGCAGGCGGUUUUGUAAGACAGAGGUGAAAUCCCCGGGCUCAACCUGGGAACUGCCUUUUUGACUGCAAGGCUAGAGUACGGCAGAGGGGGAUGGAAUUCCGCGUGUAGCAGUGAAAUGCGUAGAUAUGCGGAGGAACACCGAUGGCGAAGGCAAUCCCCUGGGCCUGUACUGACGCUCAUGCACGAAAGCGUGGGGAGCAAACAGGAUUAGAUACCCUGGUAGUCCACGCCCUAAACGAUGUCAACUGGUUGUUGGGUCUUCAUUGACGCAGUAACGAAGCUAACGCGUGAAGUUGACCGCCCGGGGAGU